RNAcentral lists this ribosomal RNA (253 nucleotides) under uncultured bacterium. RNAcentral's name for it is "partial 16S ribosomal RNA". It matches the Rfam family "Bacterial small subunit ribosomal RNA", at positions 524 to 776 of the family's 1533-position model. The record is from RNAcentral.
UACGUAGGGGGCUAGCGUUGUCCGGAAUCAUUGGGCGUAAAGCGCGUGUAGGCGGCCCGGUAAGUCCGCUGUGAAAGUCGGGGGCUCAACCCUCGGAUGCCGGUGGAUACUGUCGGGCUCGAGUACGGAAGAGGCGAGUGGAAUUCCUGGUGUAGCGGUGAAAUGCGCAGAUAUCAGGAGGAACACCCGUGGCGAAAGCGGCUCUCUGGGACGGUACUGACGCUGAGACGCGAAAGCGUGGGGAGCAAACAGG